RNAcentral lists this long non-coding RNA (2285 nucleotides) under Canis lupus familiaris (dog). RNAcentral's name for it is "lncRNA (ENSCAFG00845028891.1)". The record is from RNAcentral. Lineage: Eukaryota; Metazoa; Chordata; Mammalia; Carnivora; Canidae.
GUUCCAGUCUAGCCUUCUACCUGUCUGGCCCUGAGCAUCUCACUUUAUCUCAGUUUCUUUACAAUACUUCCUAGAGUUAUAAUAAGAAUUAGUUACUUAAGUAGUAUUUUCUGAGAACUAUUCUACAACUUCACUUUUUAAUGGCUUUAUGGUGACAAUUGAUUUUUGAGGUUUUCUGGGUUUUUUUUUUUUUUUUUUUCUUUUUUCUUUUGUAAGUCUGAGGAAGCUUUUAUGUCUGUUAAGAAACUUACUUACCAGGUGCUUGUUUCCAUUGAUUUUUCAAUUCACUAUAAUUGUUUCAAGACCUGGUUUUUCCUAAGCCUUUAAGGCCUAUGUAUAAAUUUCUUUUAUUCAUAAUUCCAACUUGCAAAUGUUAAAAACACAUUUUCUUUCUUCAGUGUUUAACUUCCUUUUUCAACAGAUAACCUCUUUUUAAACAUUAAAAUCCAAACAUAAACUUAGAUAAGCUUCCUUAAUUUUUAAACUACAUUUACACAUUUGUCUUAACCACUGCAAAUGCACAAUGAGCCUGGCAUACAAAUCUAGCAAGCAAACCAUUUUUGAGUUUUGAGUGGAGCCCGUGUCUCCACUCUGGGAAGCCAUCAGCAAGCUUCGGGUUAGGACUACUGAGGAGAUGCAUAUGUCAUGAGUUUCAAACUUGGACCUUUUCUAAUGGUCUUGAGUAUCUGUCACAUGCCCCUUUCCCAUUUUUUAAAAACCAUAACCUCUGAUAUAAAUUAUUAAGAUUCUACAUCUCCUUUUCAGAUCUAAGUUUAUUAUUUUAUUUUAUUUUUUAAAAUAUUUUAUUUAUUUAUGAGAGACACAGAAAGGCAGAGGGAGAAGCAGGCUCCAUGCAAGGAGCCCGACGUGGGACUCGAUCCCGGGACAGUGGGAUCACACCCUGAGCCAAAGGCCGGCACUAAACCGCUGAGCCACCCAGGGAUCUCCCCCAGAUCUAAGUUUAUAUUUAAUUAGAUACUGCAUCCUUCUUAGGUAAUAUUUAUAUAUUUGCCUCAUACUUUUAUAGUUACUAUAUAAAAACAUAGUACUUUAUAAUAUUAAAAUAAACAGAAUUCAUUUAACUAAUCCCCUCUUGUUGGAUAGUAGAUUAUUUUCAAUUUUCUCUUAUAAAUGACUGUUGAAAACAUACUUGUAGAAAUAUUUCGUGUACAUUCUUAUUUCCUUUGAAUAAACUCAAAAUAGAAUAACUGGGUGCCAUUAUACCAGUAUUAGUUACUGUAAUAUAUAGUCUUAUACCUACCAGUGUGAACCAUGGAAUCAUUUUGUCAAAUUACGUAAAAUCAUCCUGAGAUAAUUAAGGGGAAAUGACUAAUGUAGGAAUAUGGUAAUAUCAAACCCUUUACAAAAUUGAGGUGAUAGAAAUAGAACAAGUUAAUAAUGUGUUUUCUGGUAAUUUGACAAAAAGAUUCCAAAGUUCAUUUAGGGCAGAAAGAGAAGUAACAGUGGAAGACUUUCUACUACAUAUUGGCACGCGUAUCACAUGCUACUGGCAUUGAAAAAUGUGGCUCUGUUUAGGUACUUCUAUUCCCUUUAUUGAAUACUUUCUCCCCCACCAAAACCAAGUAAAUAUUGAUUUGUAUCAAAUGCCUUUUUUACUUCAUUCAAGAUAAUCAUAUCUUUUUUAUUUGUAUUUUUGUGUUUUAUUACAGACCUUUUCUAAUUUGAAACCUUCCUUGAAUUUCUAGAAUACAUCAUGCUUCGUCCGCCCAAAAAACUAACAGUGUCAGUGUAUCAAGAGUUUCAGAGUUUUGCACUUGCCUUUAAAGGAAAAUUAGUCUAUAGAGGUCUUUAACUUUUAAAAUAUUCUCUAGGUUAGCUUCUGGUAUUUUGCAAUGUAAGAGGACUUGGAAAGCUUUUCAUUUGCCUUGUGCUCUGGCAUAGUACCCAAAACAAAUGAACUAAUGGGAUUACUCUCCAUCCAGAGAAACUAUUGUGGCUUUUGUCACUUUCCCAGAUACUUACUGUAGGAAAAGAUCACCAUAGGAAUGAAGAUGUUGUAAUUAUCAUCUUGAUGGCAAUCACUGUUCCAAGAUUGGUUGACACAGGAUGAAUGUGCUCUGUAUAUUCAAUCUUCUUAAUGAAAUCCCAAGGAAAAUAUCAGUCCUGCUACUAAUGACAAUAAAUGGGCUUUGCACUCACAAAGUGCUCUCACUCCCAGGAGCACAAAGCUCUUCAUGAUUAAUUAUUUCAGUCAUCCUCACAGUUGUCCCAUGAGGUGGGUGGCUGAGUGCUUCCUCUUAGGGAAGAGAAAAAAAAAAAAAAAA